This 661-nucleotide ribosomal RNA is filed under the name uncultured cyanobacterium. Its description in RNAcentral is "bacterial SSU rRNA". It matches the Rfam family "Bacterial small subunit ribosomal RNA", at positions 99 to 795 of the family's 1533-position model. The record is from RNAcentral. Lineage: Bacteria; Bacillati; Cyanobacteriota.
CGGACGGGUGAGUAACGCGUGAGAAUCUGCCCAUAGGACGGGGACAACAUCGGGAAACUGGUGCUAAUACCGGAUGAGCCGCGAGGUAAAACAUUUAUGGCCUAUGGAGGAGCUCGCGACUGAUUAGCUAGUUGGUGGGGUAAGAGCUUACCAAGGCGACGAUCAGUAGCUGGUCUGAGAGGAUGAUCAGCCUCACUGGGACUGAGACACGGCCCAGACUCCUACGGGAGGCAGCAGUGGGGAAUUUUCCGCAAUGGGGGCAACCCUGACGGAGCAACGCCGCGUGAGGGAAGAAUGGUUGUGGCCAGUAAACCUCUUUUAAUAGGGAAGAAAUCUGACGGUACCUAUUGAAUAAGCAUCGGCUAACUCCGUGCCAGCAGCCGCGGUAAUACGGAGGAUGCAAGCGUUAUCCGGAAUUAUUGGGCGUAAAGCGUCCGCAGGUGGUUAGUCAAGUCAGCUGUAAAAGACUCAGGCUUAACUUGGGAUGUGCAGUUGAAACUGAUUGACUAGAGUACGGUAGGGGUAGAGGGAAUUCCUAGUGUAGCGGUGAAAUGCGUAGAUAUUAGGAAGAACACCAGUGGCGAAGGCGCUCUACUGGGCCUGUACUGACACUGAGGGACGAAAGCUAGGGGAGCGAAAGGGAUUAGAUACCCCAGUAGUC